This 253-nucleotide ribosomal RNA is filed under the name uncultured bacterium. Its description in RNAcentral is "partial 16S ribosomal RNA". It matches the Rfam family "Bacterial small subunit ribosomal RNA", at positions 524 to 776 of the family's 1533-position model. The record is from RNAcentral.
UACGUAGGGACCAAGCGUUGUUCGGAUUUACUGGGCGUAAAGGGCGCGUAGGCGGCAAUUCAAGUCACUUGUGAAAUCUCCGAGCUUAACUCGGAACGGUCAAGUGAUACUGCUUUGCUAGAGUGCAGAAGGGGCAACCGGAAUUCUUGGUGUAGCGGUGAAAUGCGUAGAUAUCAAGAGGAACACCGGGGGUGAAGACGGGUUGCUGGGCUGACACUGACGCUGAGGCGCGAAAGCUAGGGUAGCAAACGGG